GGACCGUAACUGACGCUGAGACACGAAAGCGUGGGUAGCAAACAGGAUUAGAUACCCUGGUAGUCCACGCCCUAAACGAUGCAUAUUUGGUGUGGGCAGUUCAUUCUGUCCGUGCCGGAGCUAACGCGUUAAAUAUGCCGCCUGGGGAGUACAGUCGCAAGGCUGAAACUCAAAGGAAUUGACGGGGGCCCGCACAAGCGGUGGAGCAUGUGGUUUAAUUCGACGCAACGCGAAGAACCUUACCUGGGCUCGAACGGCUUCUCAACGCCGGUAGAAAUAUCGGUAUCCCGCAAGGGAGUGGAGUCGAGGUGCUGCAUGGCUGUCGUCAGCUCGUGUCGUGAGAUGUUGGGUUAAGUCCCGCAACGAGCGCAACCCUUGUCCUGUGUUGCCAUGCCGCAAGGCGGCACUCGCAGGAGACCGCCAGCGAUAAGCUGGAGGAAGGUGGGGAUGACGUCAAGUCCUCAUGGCCUUUAUGUCCAGGGCUACACACGUGCUACAAUGGCCGGUACAAAGCGUCGCUAACCUGCGAAGGGGAGCCAAUCGCAAAAAACCGGUCUCAGUUCGGAUUGCAGGCUGCAACUCGCCUGCAUGAAGCUGGAAUCGCUAGUAAUGGCAGAUCAGCACGCUGCCGUGAAUACGUUCCCGGGCCUUGUACACACCGCCCGUCACAUCACGAAAGUGAAUUGUACUAGAAGUCUGCAGGCUGACCCGCAAGGGGGGCAGCGGCCCAAGAUAUGAUUCAUGAUUGGGGUGAAGUCGUAACAAGGUACCAAUCCCGCGG
This 781-nucleotide ribosomal RNA is filed under the name uncultured Actinomycetes bacterium. RNAcentral describes it as "bacterial SSU rRNA". It matches the Rfam family "Bacterial small subunit ribosomal RNA", at positions 731 to 1510 of the family's 1533-position model. The record is from RNAcentral. Lineage: Bacteria; Bacillati; Actinomycetota; Actinomycetes.